UAGAGUUUGAUCAUGGCUCAGAUUGAACGCUGGCGGCAGGCCUAACACAUGCAAGUCGAGCGGCAGCGACUUAACUGAACCUUCGGGGAACGUUAAGGGCGGCGAGCGGCGGACGGGUGAGUAAUGCCUGGGAAUAUGCCCUGAUGUGGGGGAUAACUAUUGGAAACGAUAGCUAAUACCGCAUAAUCUCUUCGGAGCAAAGAGGGGGACCUUCGGGCCUCUCGCGUCAGGAUUAGCCCAGGUGGGAUUAGCUUGUUGGUGAGGUAAUGGCUCACCAAGGCAACGAUCCCUAGCUGGUCUGAGAGGAUGAUCAGCCACACUGGAACUGAGACACGGUCCAGACUCCUACGGGAGGCAGCAGUGGGGAAUAUUGCACAAUGGGGGAAACCCUGAUGCAGCCAUGCCGCGUGUGUGAAGAAGGCCUUCGGGUUGUAAAGCACUUUCAGUAGGGAGGAAGGUAGUGUAGUUAACACCUGCAUUAUUUGACGUUACCUACAGAAGAAGCACCGGCUAACUCCGUGCCAGCAGCCGCGGUAAUACGGAGGGUGCGAGCGUUAAUCGGAAUUACUGGGCGUAAAGCGCAUGCAGGCGGCCUGUUAAGUCAGAUGUGAAAGCCCGGGGCU
This 623-nucleotide ribosomal RNA is filed under the name uncultured bacterium. Its description in RNAcentral is "bacterial SSU rRNA". It matches the Rfam family "Bacterial small subunit ribosomal RNA", at positions 1 to 609 of the family's 1533-position model. The record is from RNAcentral.